RNAcentral lists this long non-coding RNA (1064 nucleotides) under Junco hyemalis (dark-eyed junco). RNAcentral describes it as "lncRNA (ENSJHYG00000006723.1)". The record is from RNAcentral. Lineage: Eukaryota; Metazoa; Chordata; Aves; Passeriformes; Passerellidae.
CAGUGACCAUAUUCCAAGCAGAGUCUCAGACCUCGCAAUGGUUAAAGUAAUUUAAUCACAGUGCAUAAAUAGAAUUGCAGCACCAGAUGGCGCCUCCAAGAAGGGACAAACAAAGGUCACGUUGGGAUUUUGUACCCUCAAAGCCUGGAGACAUCAGUUCCUGCUGUGAUCAUGAGUGUGCCAGAGGUCCCUGUGACCUUUACAUGCUCAGGAGCGAAUACACUGAAAACAUGAAGUACCCAAGAGUCACUGUAACAUAAGCAGAACUGUAAAUCCAAGGGAAAGAGCACACCCAAUUUCCCUUUCACUGGAAACAUGCCCCUGCCUGUCUGACAGACAGAGUGAAUCCAGGAAAAUAGAUUGGAAAUAAUCCUGAGUAAAACAAGGGGUAGAACAUGAAGUGAUAUGAACAAAGCGGAAAUCACCUGAACGCUCAAUGAGGUAAAAACCGUAUGAUGCGACCAGGUGAAAAAUGGAGGAAUCAGAAACAGCCCUCAAGGUGAUGAGGGAACAAAAUUACAGAAAAAUACACAGAGAGACAGGAAUUGAAUGCAGGAAAACUUUAUUGCACCAAGAAGGGCAGGAAAGGCAGGAAGGGGCGUAGUGGGCAGGCCAGAGGCAGGCUGGGUGUCACGGGCUGCAAGAAGCUCUGGGACACCUGCGGGCCCUGCUAGAGCCACCAGCAAUAGCCCCAAGGCCCUGGUGCCGCUUCAGCCCAGCAUGGAGAAGCUGAGCUCUGCACAAGCUGCCCUGGCUUCUUGCAGCAAGAAGCUCUGGGACACCUGCGGGCCCUGCUAGGCUUAUCCUGUAGUCUUUUUUGUCUGUCAGCAAUGGAGGAAUCUAGAAGUCGUUCAUCUAAAUCUUUGCCGUUUUUGCUCUUUCCGUUAAAACUUGUCUUUCCCUAUAUUUAGUGUUUUAUUUUGUCUCCACUCUGAAAAUGUAAUCCCUAAUAUUUUCUUUUGUGAAUUUAUUAUGUAUCAGAAUUUAAUUUUUCUUUCCUUUGCUUUGAUCUUUAUUGUUUAUCUCGGUUAUAGUAACCUCAUGUGGUCUUUGCAUUUAUUCAG